RNAcentral lists this ribosomal RNA (489 nucleotides) under uncultured bacterium. Its description in RNAcentral is "bacterial SSU rRNA". It matches the Rfam family "Bacterial small subunit ribosomal RNA", at positions 29 to 507 of the family's 1533-position model. The record is from RNAcentral.
AUGAACGCUAGCUACAGGCUUAACACAUGCAAGUCGCGGGGCAGCAUGAAUUUAGCUUGCUAAAUUUGAUGGCGACCGGCGCACGGGUGAGUAACGCGUAUCCAACCUUGCCCGUCACAGGGAGAUAACCGCUGGAAACGGCGACUAAUAUCCCAUAUGAUGGCGAUCUGCAUGGAUUGUCAUUGAAAGAUUCAUCGGUGACGGAUAGGCUCGCGGGGCAUUAGCUAGACGGCGGGGCAACGGCCCACCGUGGCGACGAUGCCUAGGGGUUCUGAGAGGAAGACCCCCCACACUGGGACUGAGACACGGUCCAAACUCCUACGGGAGGCAGCAGUGAGGAAUAUUGGUCAAUGGGCGAGAGCCUGAACCAGCCAAGUAGCGUGCAGGAUGACGGCCCUAUGGGUUGUAAACUGCUUUUAUAAGGGAAUAAAGUUAGUCUCGUGAGACUUUUUGCAUGUACCUUAUGAAUAAGGACCGGCUAAUUCCGUG